UCUGUCUCUUAUCUGUCUGGAUAAGAGCUCAUCAAGUCCCUUACUCAAACAUCAGUAAAGGUGACUUCGUUGGAUGGACAUCGAUGGUGGAGAAGGAAAGAUGAACAAGAUAGCCACUAUUGCUUCACUCUCUGUAGUCUCUUCAUGUGAGCCUCCAGGAAGAACACAGAAUACCUCAGUGUCUUAUCUGCCGGGAGUCAUCUCUCUCACCCCCAGAGGGUCUUCACCAGACAAUAAAAAAGGAAACGCGUCAGCUGGGUGGCCAUGGUUGGGAAGAAGAGGUGAACAAGCUCGGCACGGUCUGUGGAGGUGUCGGCCUUGCUCCCCACGGCCUUCUCUGUUUCAGGUAGGUCCCGAGGGGACCCUAUGGAGGGAGCCCUGGUGAAGAGCAUUGCUGUGAGGACAGCUGCAACUGAGUCCUUCCUGAAAGAAGUGUUUGUAUUUUCAGAGGAAAAACUGAGAUUCCUAAGUGCAUGUUUCCUUAAAUGCAGCCAGGCUCCCUGUGGGCUGAGCCAAAGGCUGAGAGAGCAAACAGCUCCUUCUCCGAUGUGCACGGAGGACUUGUCCUAGUGUUUCUCUCGAGUUUCUAUGAGGCCUUCUGUUCACACGCAUGUCUUGUUGAUUGUGAGUUGGAGGAAGAAAAAAGGGGAUAGUCCCCUAUAAUUAGGACUCUAAGAGAGUAGAGCGGUUCCCUCACCCAUAAGAGACCUUCAUCGGGAAACGGGCAAUUUGUCCCUGUGCCAUGUGUUAUGAACAGUCCUAUGGGUUUCCUCUACAGACUUGACAAAAUGUCUUUCUUCUCAUCAUGGAUGAAAGCUAUUUUCGUGCUAGCCUUGCUAUUUCCUCUUCAUUCUGGUGAGUAAAUUUUUCAGUCCUGGAUGAAGCAUUUCACAUAUCUUAGAAAAUUUAGGAAACAACUGCUAUGGUCUAGGAAUGGAGGAGCUUGUUUUAUAGGCUUUUUAAUACUUAAACUGGCAAAAUGAAACGGGUCAUGUAUACAAAUAACCUUUUAAAAAUUGCAUCAGUGGUUUGCUUUUUCUCCUUUCCCACUUUAGAGGCGUGGAGAUAGAGAGGCGUGUUAGAAUGAGAGUGGAACUUCGCUUUUUCUCUACCUACAAUGAAAGUUAUCUGCCUAUCUUUAGAGGUGAAGAGGUUUUGAGGGUCAAAGUCCAUGACUGCUGAGAACAAAGUGUGGGGAGUAAUGGUGUCUUCCAGAUCUGGGGUUCUUUGACA
Molecule: long non-coding RNA, 1233 nt
Filed under: Equus asinus (donkey)
Lineage: Eukaryota; Metazoa; Chordata; Mammalia; Perissodactyla; Equidae
Description: lncRNA (ENSEASG00005038776.1)
Source: RNAcentral